ACUCCUACGGGAGGCAGCAGUGAGGAAUAUUGGACAAUGGGGGCAACCCUGAUCCAGCCAUGCCGCGUGAUUGAAGAAGGCCCUUAGGGGUUGUAAAAGAUCUUUCAAUAGUUGAAGAUAAAUGACGGUAACUAUAGAAGAAGCCCCGGCUAACUCCGUGCCAGCAGCCGCGGUAAUACGGAGGGGCUAGCGUUGUUCGGAAUUACUGGGCGU
Molecule: ribosomal RNA, 213 nt
Filed under: uncultured bacterium
Lineage: Bacteria
Description: partial 16S ribosomal RNA
Rfam family: Bacterial small subunit ribosomal RNA
Source: RNAcentral